UAGGGAAUCUUCGGCAAUGGGGGGAACCCUGACCGAGCAACGCCGCGUGAGUGAAGAAGGUCUUCGGAUCGUAAAGCUCUGUUGUUAAGGAAGAACGAGUGUGAGAAUGGAAAGUUCAUGCUGUGACGGUACUUAACCAGAAAGGGACGGCUAACUACGUGCCAGCAGCCGCGGUAAUACGUAGGUCCCGAGCGUUGUCCGGAUUUAUUGGGCGUAAAGCGAGCGCAGGCGGUUAGAAAAGUCUGAAGUGAAAGGCAGUGGCUCAACCAUUGUAGGCUUUGGAAACUGUUUAACUUGAGUGCAGAAGGGGAGAGUGGAAUUCCAUGUGGAGCGGUGAAAUGCGUAGAUAUAUGGAGGAACACCGGUGGCGAAGGCGGCUCUCUGGUCUGUAACUGACGCUGAGGCUGGAAAGCGUGGGGAGCGAACAGG
Molecule: ribosomal RNA, 429 nt
Filed under: Verrucomicrobiota bacterium
Lineage: Bacteria; Pseudomonadati; Verrucomicrobiota
Description: Verrucomicrobia bacterium partial 16S ribosomal RNA
Rfam family: Bacterial small subunit ribosomal RNA
Source: RNAcentral